RNAcentral lists this transfer RNA (64 nucleotides) under Aleurodicus dispersus. RNAcentral's name for it is "tRNA-Gly". Lineage: Eukaryota; Metazoa; Arthropoda; Insecta; Hemiptera; Aleyrodidae. The record is from RNAcentral.
AUUUUAUUAGUAUAAUUUAGUAUUUUUAAUUUCCAAUUAAAAGGUUUGUUUAUUAAAUAAAAUA